GAUGAACGCUGGCGGCGUGCUUAACACAUGCAAGUCGAACGGAAAGGCCCAGGCUUGCUUGGGUACUCGAGUGGCGAACGGGUGAGUAACACGUGGGUGAUCUGCCCUGCACUUCGGGAUAAGCCUGGGAAACUGGGUCUAAUACCGGAUAGGACGAUGGUUUGGAUGCCAUUGUGGAAAGUUUUUUCGGUGUGGGAUGAGCUCGCGGCCUAUCAGCUUGUUGGUGGGGUAAUGGCCUACCAAGGCGUCGACGGGUAGCCGGCCUGAGAGGGUGUACGGCCACAUUGGGACUGAGAUACGGCCCAGACUCCUACGGGAGGCAGCAGUGGGGAAUAUUGCACAAUGGGCGCAAGCCUGAUGCAGCGACGCCGCGUGGGGGAUGACGGCCUUCGGGUUGUAAACUCCUUUCGCUAGGGACGAAGCGUUUUGUGACGGUACCUGGAGAAGAAGCACCGGCUAACUACGUG
Molecule: ribosomal RNA, 467 nt
Filed under: uncultured bacterium
Lineage: Bacteria
Description: partial 16S ribosomal RNA
Rfam family: Bacterial small subunit ribosomal RNA
Source: RNAcentral